GCCCUUCGUGCCAGCAGCCGCGGUAAUACGGAGGGUGCGAGCGUUAAUCGGAAUGACUGGGCGUAAAGGGCAUGUAGGCGGAUAAUUAAGUUAGGUGUGAAAGCCCUGGGCUCAACCUAGGAAUUGCACUUAAAACUGGUUAACUAGAGUAUUGUAGAGGAAGGUAGAAUUCCACGUGUAGCGGUGAAAUGCGUAGAGAUGUGGAGGAAUACCGGUGGCGAAGGCGGCCUUCUGGACAGAUACUGACGCUGAGAUGCGAAAGCGUGGGGAGCAAACAGGAUUAGAUACCCUGGUAGUCCACGCUGUAAACGAUGUCGAUUUGGAGUUUGUUGCCUAGAGUGAUGGGCUCCGAAGCUAACGCGAUAAAUCGACCGCCUGGGGAGUACGGCCGCAAGGUUAAAACUCAAAUGAAUUGACGGGGGCCCGCACAAGCGGUGGAGCAUGUGGUUUAAUUCGAUGCAACGCGAAGAACCUUACCUGGUCUUGACAUCCACAGAAUCUUGCAGAGAUGNGAGNGUGCCUUCGGGAACUGUGAGACAGGUGCUGCAUGGCUGUCGUCAGCUCGUGUUGUGAAAUGUUGGGUUAAGUCCCGCAACGAGCGCAACCCUUAUCCUUUGUUGCCAUCGGUUCGGCCGGGAACUCAAAGGAGACUGCCGUUGAUAAAGCGGANGAAGGUGGGGACGACGUCAAGUCAUCAUGGCCCUUACGACCAGGGCUACACACGUGCUACAAUGGCGUAUACAAAGGGAGGCGACCUCGCGAGAGCAAGCGGACCUCAUAAAGUACGUCUAAGUCCGGAUUGGAGUCUGCAACUCGACUCCAUGAAGUCGGAAUCGCUAGUAAUCGUGAAUCAGAAUGUCACGGUGAAUACGUUCCCGGGCCUUGUACACACCGCCCGUCACACCAUGGGAGUGGGUUGCACCAGAAGUAGAUAGCUUAACCGCGAGGGGGGCGUUUACCACGGUGUGGUCCAUGACUGGGGUGAAGUCGUAACAAGGGCGAA
This 1003-nucleotide ribosomal RNA is filed under the name uncultured Gammaproteobacteria bacterium. RNAcentral describes it as "bacterial SSU rRNA". It matches the Rfam family "Bacterial small subunit ribosomal RNA", at positions 498 to 1501 of the family's 1533-position model. Lineage: Bacteria; Pseudomonadati; Pseudomonadota; Gammaproteobacteria. The record is from RNAcentral.